This 1012-nucleotide ribosomal RNA is filed under the name Metabacillus idriensis. Its description in RNAcentral is "bacterial SSU rRNA". It matches the Rfam family "Bacterial small subunit ribosomal RNA", at positions 50 to 1054 of the family's 1533-position model. The record is from RNAcentral. Lineage: Bacteria; Bacillati; Bacillota; Bacilli; Caryophanales; Bacillaceae.
UAUACAUGCAAGUCGAGCGGACCUCUUCGGAGGUUAGCGGCGGACGGGUGAGUAACACGUGGGCAACCUGCCUGUAAGACUGGGAUAACUCCGGGAAACCGGAGCUAAUACCGGAUAGUAUCUUGAACCGCAUGGUUCAAGUUGGAAAGACGGUUUCGGCUGUCACUUACAGAUGGGCCCGCGGCGCAUUAGCUAGUUGGUGAGGUAAUGGCUCACCAAGGCAACGAUGCGUAGCCGACCUGAGAGGGUGAUCGGCCACACUGGGACUGAGACACGGCCCAGACUCCUACGGGAGGCAGCAGUAGGGAAUCUUCCGCAAUGGACGAAAGUCUGACGGAGCAACGCCGCGUGAGUGAUGAAGGUUUUCGGAUCGUAAAACUCUGUUGUUAGGGAAGAACAAGUGCGAGAGUAACUGCUCGCACCUUGACGGUACCUAACCAGAAAGCCACGGCUAACUACGUGCCAGCAGCCGCGGUAAUACGUAGGUGGCAAGCGUUGUCCGGAAUUAUUGGGCGUAAAGCGCGCGCAGGCGGUUUCUUAAGUCUGAUGUGAAAGCCCCCGGCUCAACCGGGGAGGGUCAUUGGAAACUGGGAAACUUGAGUGCAGAAGAGGAGAGUGGAAUUCCACGUGUAGCGGUGAAAUGCGUAGAGAUGUGGAGGAACACCAGUGGCGAAGGCGACUCUCUGGUCUGUAACUGACGCUGAGGCGCGAAAGCGUGGGGAGCGAACAGGAUUAGAUACCCUGGUAGUCCACGCCGUAAACGAUGAGUGCUAAGUGUUAGAGGGUUUCCGCCCUUUAGUGCUGCAGCUAACGCAUUAAGCACUCCGCCUGGGGAGUACGGUCGCAAGACUGAAACUCAAAGGAAUUGACGGGGGCCCGCACAAGCGGUGGAGCAUGUGGUUUAAUUCGAAGCAACGCGAAGAACCUUACCAGGUCUUGACAUCCUUUGCCACUUCUAGAGAUAGAAGGUUCCCCUUCGGGGGACAAAGUGACAGGUGGUGCAUGGUUGUCG